GCACCCGUAGCUCAGCUGGAUAGAGCACCAGACUACGAAUCUGGGGGUCAGAGGUUCGAAUCCUUUNNUCCUUUCGGGUGCGCCA
This 85-nucleotide transfer RNA is filed under the name Paracoccaceae bacterium. RNAcentral describes it as "Rhodobacteraceae bacterium (activated sludge metagenome) tRNA-Arg". It matches the Rfam family "tRNA". From Rfam's summary of the family: Transfer RNA (tRNA) molecules are approximately 80 nucleotides in length. Their secondary structure includes four short double-helical elements and three loops (D, anti-codon, and T loops). Lineage: Bacteria; Pseudomonadati; Pseudomonadota; Alphaproteobacteria; Rhodobacterales; Paracoccaceae. The record is from RNAcentral.